RNAcentral lists this ribosomal RNA (786 nucleotides) under uncultured bacterium. RNAcentral's name for it is "bacterial SSU rRNA". It matches the Rfam family "Bacterial small subunit ribosomal RNA", at positions 8 to 796 of the family's 1533-position model. The record is from RNAcentral.
AGAGUUUGAUCCUGGCUCAGAACGAACGCUGGCGGCGUGCUUAACACAUGCAAGUCGAGUGCGCGCCUGUAGCAAUACAGGUGGCGCACGGCGCACGGGUGCGUAACACGUGGGUAAUCUGCCCUCUGAUGGGGAAUAACUCGCCGAAAGGCGAGCUAAUUCCGCAUAACAUUCCGGGAACCUUGGUUCUUGGACUCAAAGGCGCAAGUCGUCGGAGGAGGAGCCCGCGCACGAUUAGCUAGUUGGUGAGGUAAUGGCUCACCAAGGCUAUGAUCGUUAGCUGGUCUGAGAGGAUGGCCAGCCACACUGGAACUGAGACACGGUCCAGACUCCUACGGGAGGCAGCAGUGGGGAAUCUUGCACAAUGGGCGAAAGCCUGAUGCAGCGGCGCCGCGUGGGGGAUGAAGCUUCUCGGAGUGUAAACCCCUUUCGACCCGGACGAAUACCUCGCAAGAGGGGUGACGGUACGGGUAUAAGAAGCCCCGGCUAACUACGUGCCAGCAGCCGCGGUAAGACGUAGGGGGCCAGCGUUGUUCGGAAUUACUGGGUGUAAAGGGUUCGUAGGCGGUGUGGCAAGUCGGGAGUGAAAUCUCUGGGCUCAACCCAGAGUCUGCUUCCGAAACUGCUGUGCUUGAGUGUGGGAGAGGCGCGUGGAAUUGCAGGUGUAGCGGUGAAAUGCGUAGAUAUCUGCAGGAACACCCGUGGCGAAAGCGGCGCGCUGGACCACUACUGACGCUGAGGAACGAAAGCUAGGGGAGCAAACAGGAUUAGAUACCCCAGUAGUCC